This is an RNA transcript of Nicotiana tabacum (common tobacco), 3262 nucleotides long. It is a transcript of the gene named putative late blight resistance protein homolog R1A-3, with no coding region annotated. The record is from RefSeq and is a predicted model, not a curated record. NCBI's taxonomy places the organism in Eukaryota, Viridiplantae, Streptophyta, Magnoliopsida, Solanales, Solanaceae.
CUACAAUUAUUAAUUGGCAAUUGGCAGCUCCCAUUUGUCUAGCUCAACUUUACUCUCUUAGUCAACUUACCAAGUAAGAGCAAGAUCAUAGCUGCUGCAGCCAUGGCAGAUGUAGCAGUGAAUUUCCUAGUAGAAAACUUGAUGCAUUUAAUAAUCGACAACGCUGGCUUGAUUAUUGGAAUAAAAGGUGAAGUUGAACAUUUACUACAUGAUCUGAAUGACUUCAAUGCUUUUCUCAAACAAGCAGCUAAAUCCAGGAGAGACAAUGAAGUCUUGAAAUCACUAGUAAAGAAGAUAAGUAAAGUGGUAAAUGAUGCCGAAGAUUCAAUUGAUAAGUUUGUGAUUGAAGCUAAAAGACAUGACGAUAUGAACAAAUUUGCUCAGUGGUUUCAUCUUACUCAUGUUACUAGAGCUAAAGGGGUUGCUGAUGAGAUUAAUACUAUUAGGGAAAGGGUGAAGGUAAUUCGCGAAAAUGAUGCUUAUGGACUUCAAGCUAUUACUUUUGAUGAUAAUUUCAACAAAGGUGCUCAGGAGAGGAAGGUUCCUGUAGUUGAGGAAGACAAUGUGGGAGGCUUUGAUGAGGAAGUGAAAACUGUAAUUGAUCGUCUCAUUGGAGGAUCGGAUCAUCUUGAGGUUGUACCAAUCGUUGGUAUGCCUGGUCUUGGAAAAACAACUUUGGCAUAUAAGAUUUACAAGGAUCCUAAGGUUGAGUGUGAGUUCUUCCCCUGCAUUUGGGUAAAUGUCUCUCAAUUGUACAAGAGAAGGGAAAUAUUUCUGAACAUCAUCAGCAAAUUUACUCGAAACUCCAAACAGUACUAUGAUGUACCAGAGGAUGAUUUAGCAGAUGAAGCACGGGAGCUUUUGGGCAAGGGUGGGAAAUAUCUUAUUGUUUUAGACGAUGUAUGGACGAUGGAAGCUUGGGAUCGCAUUAAAAUUGCUUUCCCCGAUAACGGUAAAUGCAGUAGAGUCUUGAUGACCACUACGCACCGCAAUGUUGCCAGAUAUUGCAAUGAUAAACCUCACUAUGUAAAGUUUCUAACUAAAAAUGAAAGUUGGGAGCUACUUGAGAAGAAGGUUUUUUACAAGGAGAAGUGUCCACGUGAGUUAGAAUUACCUGGAAAAUCUAUAGCCGAAAAUUGUAGGGGCUUACCACUUGCAAUAGUUGUUAUUGCCGGAGCUUUGAUGGGCAAAGGAAAGACAACAAGGGAGUGGAAGCUGGUGGCUGACAGUGUGGGUGAGCACCUGAUAAAUAGAGAUCCAGAGAACUGCAAGAAAUUGGUGCAGAUGAGUUAUGAUUGUUUGCCUUAUGAUUUAAAGAUGUGCUUCUUAUAUUGUGGCACUUUUCCUGGUGGUUCUGAAAUUUCAGCUCGGAAGUUGAUUAGUUUAUGGAUCGCGGAAGGAUUCAUACACUACAACAGACCAUUGACUCUAGAGGAUGUAGCAGAGGACCACUUGAAUUAUCUUGUCAAUAGGAACUUAGUGAUGGUAAUGCAGAGGGGUUCUAGUGGUCAAAUUAAAACAUGUCGUGUUCAUGACAUAUUGCGUGAGUUCUGCAGACAUGAGGCUAUGAUGGAGGAAAAUCUUUUUCAGGAAAUCAAACGAGGGCAGGAACAUUCUUUUCCAGAGAAACAAGAGUUAGCCACUUAUCGUCGCUUGUGUAUUCAUUCCUCUGUUUCUGAAUUCUUAUCAACAAAACCCUUUGGUGAGCAUGUUAGGUCGUUCUUAUGCUUUGCCUCGAAAAAAUUUGAGAUGCCUUUAGGUGAUAUAAUCCCCCGAGCCUUUCCCUUGCUUAGGGUACUAGAUGCGGAAUCAAUCAAGUUCAGUCGUUUUCCUAAAGAAUUCUUCAAAUUAUUCCAUUUGAGGUACAUGGCUUUCUCAACUGACUCGAUUAUGACCAUUCCUUCAAACAUUGGGAAUCUUUGGAAUGUACAAACACUUAUAAUUGAGACACAACAGGGUACUCUUGACAUUAAAGCAGACAUUUGGAAUAUGACAACAUUAAGGCAUGUGUGCACAAAUGCCUCUGCUAUAUUGCCAUCCCCUAAGCACUCCAAGAGCAGAAAGGAGGUGAAUCAUUACCUACAAACACUUUCUACUAUAGCACCUGAAUGUUGCACUGCAGAAAUUUUUACUAGAACUCCUAAUCUCAAGAAAUUAGGUGUUCGUGGAAAAAUAGCUGCACUUCUAGAAACCAGUAAGGAUGGAUCUGGCUCUGGUUUGUUCGGCAACAUAGGCAAGUUAGAUUGCCUCGAAAAUCUGAAGUUGGUAAAUGAUACUCGUCAAAGUGGUAAACAGCUACACCUUCCUCCAGCAUAUAUUUUUCCUCAGAAGCUGAAAAAGCUCACUCUGAUAGAUACUUGGUUCGAAUGGAAAGAUAUGUCUAUAUUAGGUCUAUUAGAGUACCUUGAAGUGCUGAAGCUGAAACAAAAUGCAUUUAGGGGACAGUCGUGGGAACCCGAGGAUGGUGGUUUUCCUUGUCUGCAAGUCCUAUGGAUUGAAAGGACAGAUCUAUCUUCUUGGAAGGCCUCAUCCGGGAACUUUCCACAACUAAAACGCCUUGUUCUUAUAUCAUGUGAUAAGCUUGAGGAACUCCCAGCUGCACUUGCUGAUGCGCAAAGCCUCCAGCUAAUGGAACUGCACUAUACCAGUGAAUCUGCCGCUAAAUCUGCACGAGUAAUACUAAAGAGGCGACUAAGAAAAGAAGAGGGUAGCACUAACAGAUGCGGAUGCAAGCUUUCUGUAUUCCCUCCAGAUCUUGGAUUGUAACUUUAAGAACUGCUUCAUUGGCACUUGAUAGCAGUCUCGUGAGUUUGAGCGAAUUUGUGUUAGCUUGUGCUUGAUAUCUGUAAGGCAGGAGCUAGACAUCAGGUUUUGAAGUUGUGUGAGAACUUUGAAAUUGGAGAAUAUAAAAAAUGGGCAAGAAGUCAUCACCUUAGAGCUAAAAUUGGAGAAAGUUGAAGCAAAAAGACUUUUAGUCAGACCGUUGGACGCGGUUACGGUUCAAGAGAAGCUUGAAGAGUUUAAGAAAUGAAACUUUUGGAAUUCGUUACGGUUCAGCUGUCUCACGGUUGGCCCAACAUGGCAAUUAUUUUUCACUUUUUGGACUUGGUAUAAAUAGCUAUUUUAAGUCAUUCUAGGGCAUCUUUUUGGCAAGAAUAUUUUGUGUAGCAGCUUUUGGGAUUCUUCUUUGGGAUUUUGGGUGACUUCACCAUUGUUCUACACAAUCUUUUUUUCCUCUUUAGCUAUUAUGUUUGGUUUUUCA